AUCUUAUCAAGAGAGGCUGAGGGACUGGCCCUUCGAAGCCCGGCAACCAGUACUUAUACAUGUAGUAUAUGGUGCUAAUUCCAGCAGCUAGGUAAGUUUUAUACUUAUAGGCUGAUAGAUGAGAA
Molecule: non-coding RNA, 125 nt
Filed under: Clostridium sp.
Lineage: Bacteria; Bacillati; Bacillota; Clostridia; Eubacteriales; Clostridiaceae
Description: SAM-I sequence
Rfam family: SAM riboswitch aptamer (S box leader)
About the family: The SAM riboswitch is found upstream of a number of genes which code for proteins involved in methionine or cysteine biosynthesis in Gram-positive bacteria. The SAM riboswitch acts at the level of transcription termination control.
Source: RNAcentral